AAGAAAUAGUUUGCAGUAAGUUGACCGAGAGGCUCCUGUCAAAUGGUUGAAGGGCAAAACGUGAGAUAGAUGUAUGUGAUGACAAGACUGUACUGCUUUCGAUGAUUGUCAAAACGCUUUACCUGAAAUUAGCAUGACUAUCUUUCAUUCAAUAUUCGACCAUACUUGUAUGCUUUAAAGUCUAUUUUUCCAUAUUGUUCAGAUAUAUUUGACACGUUGACCGCUUAGAUACCAUUGGUUUUUUGACAGCUAAGGUAUCAAUGACUUGUUGUAAGUGUAGAAAUUAAUGAAUAGCGACUGUUAACAUAUUUGUGACAGGUUGAGCGCUCACAAGUAAAUACUACCAUGACAGUCAACAACUUUUUGACAGUUUAAACGUUUACCUCUCUUUGAGCACCUGGAGUGUAUAGCGACUUCUGCUGCUGACUGUACAAGACUAAAGUCAGACCGUGAAAAGUCUGCAGCGAUUUUGAUAGUCCACGCAGUGCAAGUGUCAUUUUAAACGUCAAACUUCUAUGAAAUUAUCACGUAUAAAUAACACUUACACUGCGUGGGCUAUCAAAUCCGCUGCAGACUUUUCUUGGAGCAACUCUACAAUGUUACCUACGAACAAAUAAAAAUAAUAAUACCUAAGGUAGCAAGAAGAGUAAAAAUAUUAAUGAAGACACAUGUUUAUAGUUUAUAAAUAAUGUUUUUGACCCUAAGAAAUAUUAAUAAAAUAUCUGCAAAUA
Molecule: long non-coding RNA, 731 nt
Organism: Cydia fagiglandana
Lineage: Eukaryota; Metazoa; Arthropoda; Insecta; Lepidoptera; Tortricidae
Exons: 2
Source: RefSeq, a predicted model, not a curated record